GAUUAAGUUAUUAAGGGCGCACGGUGGAUGCCUUGGCACUAGAAGCCGAUGAAGGACGUUACUAACGACGAUAUGCUUUGGGGAGCUGUAAGUAAGCUUUGAUCCAGAGAUUUCCGAAUGGGGAAACCCAGCAUGAGUUAUGUCAUGUUAUCGAUAUGUGAAUACAUAGCAUAUCAGAAGGCAUACCCGGAGAACUGAAACAUCUUAGUACCCGGAGGAAGAGAAAGAAAAUUCGAUUCCCUUAGUAGCGGCGAGCGAAACGGGAAGAGCCCAAACCAACAAGCUUGCUUGUUGGGGUUGUAGGACACUCUAUACGGAGUUACAAAGGACGACAUUAGACGAAUCAUCUGGAAAGAUGAAUCAAAGAAGGUAAUAAUCCUGUAGUCGAAAAUGUUGUCUCUCUUGAGUGGAUCCUGAGUACGACGGAGCACGUGAAAUU
RNAcentral lists this ribosomal RNA (439 nucleotides) under Staphylococcus aureus. RNAcentral's name for it is "partial 23S ribosomal RNA". It matches the Rfam family "Bacterial large subunit ribosomal RNA", at positions 1 to 433 of the family's 2925-position model. The record is from RNAcentral. Lineage: Bacteria; Bacillati; Bacillota; Bacilli; Caryophanales; Staphylococcaceae.